Molecule: unclassified non-coding RNA, 329 nt
Filed under: soil metagenome
Description: partial contains 5.8S ribosomal RNA, internal transcribed spacer 2, and large subunit ribosomal RNA
Rfam family: 5.8S ribosomal RNA (bases 1-120)
Source: RNAcentral
GAUGAAGAACGUAGCGAAAUGCGAUAAGUAAUGUGAAUUGCAGAAUUCAGUGAAUCAUCGAAUCUUUGAACGCACAUUGCGCCCCCUGGUAUUCCGGGGGGCAUGCCUGUCCGAGCGUCAUUACAACCCUCAAGCUCAGCUUGGUGUUGGGCCCCGCCGCCCCGGCGGGCCCUAAAGUCAGCGGCGGUGCCGUCCGGCUCCGAGCGUAGUAAUUCUUCUCGCUCUGGAGGUCCGGUCGUGUGCUCGCCAGCAACCCCCAAUUUUUUUCAGGUUGACCUCGGAUCAGGUAGGGAUACCCGCUGAACUUAAGCAUAUCAAUAAGCGGAGGA